Molecule: ribosomal RNA, 265 nt
Filed under: uncultured bacterium
Lineage: Bacteria
Description: partial 16S ribosomal RNA
Rfam family: Bacterial small subunit ribosomal RNA
Source: RNAcentral
GUCCACGCCGUAAACGAUGGGUGCUAUACGUUGGCGAGCUUGCUCGUCAGUGUCGCAGCUAACGCGUUAAGCACCCCGCCUGGGGAGUACGGCCGCAAGGUUGAAACUCAAAGGAAUUGACGGGGGCCCGCACAAGCGGUGGAGCAUGUGGUUCAAUUCGACGCAACGCGAAGAACCUUACCAGCCCUUGACAUGUGACUCGCCGGGAGCAGAGACGCUCCCUUCGGUUCGGCCGGAGUCAACACAGGUGCUGCAUGGCUGUCGU